RNAcentral lists this ribosomal RNA (429 nucleotides) under Gemmatimonadota bacterium. RNAcentral's name for it is "Gemmatimonadetes bacterium partial 16S ribosomal RNA". It matches the Rfam family "Bacterial small subunit ribosomal RNA", at positions 355 to 776 of the family's 1533-position model. Lineage: Bacteria; Pseudomonadati; Gemmatimonadota. The record is from RNAcentral.
UAGGGAAUCUUCGGCAAUGGACGAAAGUCUGACCGAGCAACGCCGCGUGAGUGAAGAAGGUUUUCGGAUCGUAAAACUCUGUUGUUAGAGAAGAACAAGGACGUUAGUAACUGAACGUCCCCUGACGGUAUCUAACCAGAAAGCCACGGCUAACUACGUGCCAGCAGCCGCGGUAAUACGUAGGUGGCAAGCGUUGUCCGGAUUUAUUGGGCGUAAAGCGAGCGCAGGCGGUUUCUUAAGUCUGAUGUGAAAGCCCCCGGCUCAACCGGGGAGGGUCAUUGGAAACUGGGAGACUUGAGUGCAGAAGAGGAGAGUGGAAUUCCAUGUGUAGCGGUGAAAUGCGUAGAUAUAUGGAGGAACACCAGUGGCGAAGGCGGCUCUCUGGUCUGUAACUGACGCUGAGGCUCGAAAGCGUGGGGCGCAAACAGG